UGGCGGACGGGUGAGUAACGCGUGGGUAACCUGCCUCAUACAGGGGGAUAACAGUUAGAAAUGACUGCUAAUACCGCAUAAGACCACGGAGCCGCAUGGCUCAGUGGGAAAAACUCCGGUGGUAUGAGAUGGACCCGCGUCUGAUUAGGUAGUUGGUGGGGCAACGGCCUACCGAGCCAACGAUCAGUAGCCGACCUGAGAGGGUGACCGGCCACAUUGGGACUGAGACACGGCCCAA
This 238-nucleotide ribosomal RNA is filed under the name uncultured bacterium. RNAcentral describes it as "partial 16S ribosomal RNA". It matches the Rfam family "Bacterial small subunit ribosomal RNA", at positions 96 to 334 of the family's 1533-position model. The record is from RNAcentral.